Molecule: ribosomal RNA, 492 nt
Filed under: uncultured bacterium
Lineage: Bacteria
Description: partial 16S ribosomal RNA
Rfam family: Bacterial small subunit ribosomal RNA
Source: RNAcentral
AGUGAACGCUGGCGGUAGGCCUAACACAUGCAAGUCGAACGGCAGCACAGUAAGAGCUUGCUCUUACGGGUGGCGAGUGGCGGACGGGUGAGGAAUACAUCGGAAUCUAUUUUUUCGUGGGGGAUAACGUAGGGAAACUUACGCUAAUACCGCAUACGACCUACGGGUGAAAGCAGGGGAUCUUCGGACCUUGCGCGAUUGAAUGAGCCGAUGUCGGAUUAGCUAGUUGGCGGGGUAAAGGCCCACCAAGGCGACGAUCCGUAGCUGGUCUGAGAGGAUGAUCAGCCACACUGGAACUGGGACACGGUCCAGACUCCUACGGGAGGCAGCAGUGGGGAAUAUUGGACAAUGGGCGCAAGCCUGAUCCAGCCAUACCGCGUGGGUGAAGAAGGCCUUCGGGUUGUAAAGCCCUUUUGUUGGGAAAGAAAAGCAGCAGGUUAAUACCCCGCUGUUCUGACGGUACCCAAAGAAUAAGCACCGGCUAACUUCGUG